GCUGUUCUCACAGCGUGGUGGACUGCCGGGGCCAAUGGGCGGCAGCAGAGGAAGCCGGUGCGAAUCCGGCGCGGUCCCGCCACUGUCACCGGGAACCCCCGGAAGCCAGGAACUCUCGCCGCCGAUCACGUCGAA
This 135-nucleotide non-coding RNA is filed under the name Streptomyces clavuligerus. Lineage: Bacteria; Bacillati; Actinomycetota; Actinomycetes; Kitasatosporales; Streptomycetaceae. The record is from RNAcentral.